Molecule: ribosomal RNA, 239 nt
Filed under: Salmonella enterica
Lineage: Bacteria; Pseudomonadati; Pseudomonadota; Gammaproteobacteria; Enterobacterales; Enterobacteriaceae
Also listed under: 2 other names
Description: partial 16S ribosomal RNA
Rfam family: Bacterial small subunit ribosomal RNA
Source: RNAcentral
AAAUUGAAGAGUUUGAUCAUGGCUCAGAUUGAACGCUGGCGGCAGGCCUAACACAUGCAAGUCGAACGGUAACAGGAAGCAGCUUGCUGCUUCGCUGACAAGUGGCGGACGGGUGAGUAAUGUCUGGGAAACUGCCUGAUGGAGGGGGAUAACUACUGGAAACGGUGGCUAAUACCGCAUAACGUCGCAAGACCAAAGAGGGGGACCUUCGGGCCUCUUGCCAUCAGAUGUGCCCAGAU